This 450-nucleotide ribosomal RNA is filed under the name uncultured bacterium. Its description in RNAcentral is "partial 16S ribosomal RNA". It matches the Rfam family "Bacterial small subunit ribosomal RNA", at positions 338 to 795 of the family's 1533-position model. The record is from RNAcentral.
CCUACGGGGGGCUGCAGUAAGGAAUAUUGGUCAAUGGACGCAAGUCUGAACCAGCCAUGCCGCGUGGAGGAUGAAGGUCCUCUGGAUUGUAAACUUCUUUUAUUUGGGAAGAAACUCCCGAUUUCCAUCGGGAUUGACGGUACCAGAUGAAUAAGCACCGGCUACCUCCGUGCCAGCAGCCGCGGUAAUACGGAGGGUGCCAGCGUUAUCCGGAUUCAAGGGGUUUAAAGUGGGCAGGUAUGGGCGUGUUGAACUCUCCGGGCUUAACCCGGGAACUGCCAUUGAUACUAUUUGUCUUGAAUACUCUGGAGGUGAGCGGAAUAUGUCAUGUAGCGGUGAAAUGCGUAGAUAUGACAUAGAACACCCAUUGCGAAGGCAGCUCACUACGGAAAUAUUGACGCUGAGGCACGAAAGCGUGGGGAUCAAACAGGAUUAGAUACCCUUGUAGUC